Molecule: ribosomal RNA, 449 nt
Filed under: uncultured bacterium
Lineage: Bacteria
Description: partial 16S ribosomal RNA
Rfam family: Bacterial small subunit ribosomal RNA
Source: RNAcentral
AACGAACGCUGGCGGCAGGCUUAACACAUGCAAGUCGAGCGCAUCCUUCGGGGUGAGCGGCAGACGGGUGAGUAACGCGUGGGAGCGUACCCUUUCCUACGGAAUAGCUCCGGGAAACUGGAAUUAAUACCGUAUACGCCCUUAGGGGGAAAGAUUUAUCGGGGAAGGAUCGGCCCGCGUUGGAUUAGCUAGUUGGUGGGGUAAAGGCCUACCAAGGCGUCGAUCCAUAGCUGGUCUGAGAGGAUGAUCAGCCACAUUGGGACUGAGACACGGCCCAAACUCCUACGGGAGGCAGCAGUGGGGAAUAUUGGACAAUGGGCGCAAGCCUGAUCCAGCCAUGCCGCGUGAGUGAUGAAGGCCUUAGGGUUGUAAAGCUCUUUCAGUAGGGAAGAUAAUGACGGUACCUACAGAAGAAGCCCCGGCUAACUUCGCGCCAGCCGCCGCAGUAA